GUUAGGAAUAUUGGACAAUGGGCGCAAGCCUGAUCCAGCCAUGCCGCGUGAGUGAUGAAGGCCUUCGGGUUGUAAAGCUCUUUAGCCGAUGAUUAUAAUGACUGUAGUCGGAAAAUAAGCCCCGGCUAACUUCGUGCCAGCAGCCGCGGUAAUACGAAGGGGGCGAGCGUUAUUCGGAAUCACUGGGCGUAAAGCGUGCGUAGGCGGCUUUGCAAGUGGGGAGUGAAAGCCCAGGGCUCAACCCUGGAAUUGCUCUCAAAACUGCAAGGCUCGAAUUCGGGAGAGGAUAGCGGAAUUGUCAGUGUAGCAGUGAAAUGCGUAGAUAUUGACAGGAACACCAGUGGCGUAAGCGGCUAUCUGGACCGAUAUUGACGCUGAGGCACGAAAGCGUGGGGAUCAAACAGGAUUAGAAACCCCUGUAGUCC
RNAcentral lists this ribosomal RNA (425 nucleotides) under uncultured bacterium. Its description in RNAcentral is "partial 16S ribosomal RNA". It matches the Rfam family "Bacterial small subunit ribosomal RNA", at positions 354 to 796 of the family's 1533-position model. The record is from RNAcentral.